RNAcentral lists this small RNA (675 nucleotides) under Pan troglodytes (chimpanzee). RNAcentral's name for it is "processed transcript". The record is from RNAcentral. Lineage: Eukaryota; Metazoa; Chordata; Mammalia; Primates; Hominidae.
AAUGGCUGGUGCUCCAGACCCCUCACCUGGAGUUCCAGGAGGGAGAAACCAUCGUGCUGAGGUGCCACAGCUGGAAGGACAAGCCUCUGGUCAAGGUCACAUUCUUCCAGAAUGGAAAAUCCCAGAAAUUCUCCCAUUUGGAUCCCAACUUCUCCAUCCCACAAGCAAACCACAGUCACAGUGGUGAUUACCACUGCACAGGAAACAUAGGCUACACGCUGUUCUCAUCCAAGCCUGUGACCAUCACUGUCCAAGCCAAUUCCACUGAUCCUGUGAAGGCUGCCCAAUUUGAGCCACCUGGACGUCAAAUGAUUGCCAUCAGAAAGAGACAACUUGAAGAAACCAACAAUGACUAUGAAACAGCUGACGGCGGCUACAUGACUCUGAACCCCAGGGCACCUACUGACGAUGAUAAAAACAUCUACCUGACUCUUCCUCCCAACGACCAUGUCAACAGUAAUAACUAAAGAGUAACGUUAUGCCAUGUGGUCACACUCUCAGCUUGCUGAGUGGAUGACAAAAAGAGGGGAAUUGUUAAAGGAAAAUUUAAAUGGAGACUGGAAAAAUUCCUGAGCAAACAAAACCACCUGGCCCUUAGAAGUAGCUUUAACUUUGCUUAAACUACAAACACAAGCAAAACUUCAUGGGGUCAUACUACAUACAAGCAUAAGCAAA